RNAcentral lists this ribosomal RNA (448 nucleotides) under uncultured bacterium. RNAcentral's name for it is "bacterial SSU rRNA". It matches the Rfam family "Bacterial small subunit ribosomal RNA", at positions 329 to 794 of the family's 1533-position model. The record is from RNAcentral.
UUCCAGACUCCUACGGGAGGCAGCAGUGGGGAAUAUUGCACAAUGGGGGAAACCCUGAUGCAGCGACGCCGCGUGAGUGAAGAAGUAAUUCGUUAUGUAAAGCUCUAUCAGCAGGGAAGAAAAUGACGGUACCUGACUAAGAAGCCCCGGCUAACUACGUGCCAGCAGCCGCGGUAAUACGUAGGGGGCAAGCGUUAUCCGGAUUUACUGGGUGUAAAGGGAGCGUAGACGGCGAUGCAAGCCAGAUGUGAAAGCCCGGGGCUCAGCCCCGGGACUGCAUUUGGAACUGUGUGGCUGGAGUGUCGGAGAGGCAGGCGGAAUUCCUAGUGUAGCGGUGAAAUGCGUAGAUAUUAGGAGGAACACCAGUGGCGAAGGCGGCCUGCUGGACGAUGACUGACGUUGAGGCUCGAAAGCGUGGGGAGCAAGCAGGAUUAGAUACCCCAGUAAA